RNAcentral lists this ribosomal RNA (253 nucleotides) under uncultured bacterium. RNAcentral describes it as "partial 16S ribosomal RNA". It matches the Rfam family "Bacterial small subunit ribosomal RNA", at positions 524 to 776 of the family's 1533-position model. The record is from RNAcentral.
UACAUGGGGUGCAAACGUUGCUCGGAAUCAUUGGGCGUAAAGAGCUCGUAGGCGGUCUGUCGCGUCUGGUGUGAAAAUCCAGGGCUUAACCCUGGACCUGCAUCGGGUACGGGCAGACUAGAGUGCGGUAGGGGAGAUCGGAAUUCCUGGUGUAGCGGUGAAAUGCGCAGAUAUCGGGAGGAACCCCUGUGGCGAAAGCGGCUCUCUGGACCACAACUGACGCUGAGGCGCGAAAGCUAGGGGAGCAAACAGG